Molecule: non-coding RNA, 184 nt
Filed under: Nissabacter sp. SGAir0207
Lineage: Bacteria; Pseudomonadati; Pseudomonadota; Gammaproteobacteria; Enterobacterales; Yersiniaceae
Description: 6S RNA
Rfam family: 6S / SsrS RNA
About the family: E. coli 6S RNA was the first non coding RNA to be sequenced, but its function was unknown until recently. It consists of 184 nucleotides that fold into an extended hairpin structure with a large single-stranded internal bulge.
Source: RNAcentral
AUUUCUCUGAGAUGUUUGUCAGCGGGCCAGUCCCCUGAGCCGAUAUUUCAUACCACAAGAAUGUGGCGCUCCGUUGCCCGUGAGCAUGCUCGGUCCGUCCGAGAAGCCUUAAGGUUACGACGCUACGUUCACCUUGAACCAAGGGUUCAAGGGUUACAGCCUGCGGCGGCAUCUCGGAGAUUCC